This 423-nucleotide ribosomal RNA is filed under the name uncultured bacterium. Its description in RNAcentral is "bacterial SSU rRNA". It matches the Rfam family "Bacterial small subunit ribosomal RNA", at positions 355 to 775 of the family's 1533-position model. The record is from RNAcentral.
UAAGGAAUAUUGGUCAAUGGACGCAAGUCUGAACCAGCCAUGCCGCGUGCAGGAUGACUGCCCUAUGGGUUGUAAACUGCUUUUGUACGGGAAGAAACCCCUCUACGUGUAGAGGGUUGACGGUACCGUAAGAAUAAGGAUCGGCUAACUCCGUGCCAGCAGCCGCGGUAAUACGGAGGAUCCAAGCGUUAUCCGGAUUUAUUGGGUUUAAAGGGUGCGUAGGCGGCCUAUUAAGUCAGUGGUGAAAGCCUGGAGCUUAACUCCAGAACUGCCAUUGAUACUGAUGGGCUUGAGUACAGUUGAGGUGGGCGGAAUGUGUCAUGUAGCGGUGAAAUGCUUAGAUAUGACACAGAACACCGAUUGCGAAGGCAGCUCGCUAAACUGUAACUGACGCUGAGGCACGAAAGCGUGGGUAGCAAACAG